UUGUGUUUUCAUUUGUUUAUUUUAAAAUGUAUGAUGUUAUUAUGAAUCGGGAAUAUGAUAAUGGUAUUACUAACUGCAAAUUAAACUUUGUUUCAAAAUGAGCAUUAUUCUAUUAGAUAUGACCUAUUUUAUUAUCUUUUACGGACCUAACGUUUCAGUUCAAUGUAUUCAAUAAUAGAUUCGUCAGUGGUUGAAUGUAACAUCAAUAUGUAUCUAACUGGUGUUGGUUGAAAAUAUCAUUACGCAUCUAAAUGGUUUUACUUCAUCUACUAUAUUAAGUUAUCUAGCGGAACAUGUGGGUGUUGAUCAAGGAUUGAGGAUGUGCAUAGUUGAUCUAUGAUUUAUUAUUGCAAUAAAAUUGCAUUCAUUGUUGGCGACGCUUACGAAUAGAACGGGUUGGAACAUUGUUAAGGUGAUAAUGUUUAUUUCCAAUUUAUUACCGGUCAGUGUGAUUUUGCAUUUGUAUGCAGUUAACGAUACAGAUGUUAAAAACAUCACUAUAUUACCUCACAAUGCUGAUUUUUACUUUCCCUCGUGUGCCGUACGCGCGUGGAACAUAAAACGAGCUACUGUGGUAGAUGAGACUGCAGCAACCAAUGCCACCAUCAACACGUCAUAUCAAUGGUACGUAAAGUUUUUUAUGGGAGAAAGGGGAACGACAAAAGUAUCCAGGACCAAGAUUGUACGUCAUAAUGAAUUAGUGGAUUUACCGCUAUGUAUAAAUGGCAAUAUGAUUAUAUUUAAGAUUGAAAUUAUUAAAGAACCAAUAGUUUCAUCUACUGCUAGUAAUAUCACUAUGCAUAAGAAGCGAGUAAGACGGGAAACGAACAUAAAACAGUCUUGGUCAGAGAAUGAAUACUACCAAAUUAUACAAGACGGUGAUGAUAUAGAAAUGACAGUUCGAGUUCAAAAAAAAAAGAAACCUAUUUCUACCAAGAUUCUGAGUACUACCUCAACAGUCAGGCCACCACCACCACCACCACCACCACAUGUAGCAACAACAGCAACAACAACAACAACAACCACCACACAGAUACCUCUACUGUUGAGUGAAGACUGCCAACAGUAUGCGUAUAUGUUAGGUCAAAUGCAACGUUGGGCUGAUGGAGAAAUGCGUAUUAUAAAAACAGAUCCUAACGCUGAUAUGUUCUGCAAGGAUCGCUUACCGGCUAAUGCUACCAGGUUUUGAGAGCGACAACGUUAUCGAUAGCAAAUAAAUUUAAGGUAAGCUUUUAUUUUUUUUAAAGUUUUUAUAAAAUAAUAGAUUGUAGCGAGUGUGUGAAAUGAUAGGGGCUAUUUCCUGUUUUCUGCCGCAAACGUCAUAUCUGAGGUUUUGAUUUGGGUAUAAAACGGCCUGCUCACCCAUUGCCACCAUACCAGUCACUCAUAACACGGUGAGCAAAGCUACAGCUGUCAAAUUACCGCUAUGUCCCAUAAUUGUAUUGAGCGUUUGACAGAACGUGGGUUAAAUGUCAUAAACUGGAUUAAACCUAAGGAGUUAAAAAUAGGUCAUCCAUACGAAAUAAUUAACUGCUACCAAAAGCCUUCGCAGUUUGACAGUACGAAAAUGCAGACCAUUUUAAUUUUAAAAGAGGGUCACCUGACUCUUCCAUGUCGUUUUAACGCUAUGGAAGAGGAGGUGAUGGAUGAUAUUAAAAAUGGGGGCAUAGCGGUAGUUUCCAAGGGGCCGAAAAACAGAACCUGGCUUUUAGAGUUUUGUCCAGCAUAAAUAACAUCAGCAGCAGCAACAGCAGCAGCCACCGCAAGCAGCAGCAGCAACAACAACAUUGACGAUGCCAUCCUCUUCGUACCAGUUCAAGAGCGGCAACAGCAACAGCAUCAGCAACAACAUCAGCAACAGCAACAGCAGCAACAACAAGAGCUAACAUCUUCGCAGUCUCCCACACUACUGGUACCGUUAACGGCAUGUAUGAAAUUAACAGUGCAAAGCGAAGAUGCUAACCUAGCUGUACAUCAGCCUAAGGAAAACGUCCCACCGUCAAUUAAAUGUGAGCGUAGUCACGAUGAAUAUGAAAGUAUCGAGCCAGAGUUGGUAGCACAUUAUGAAAAUAAUAAAAAGCAAUGGAUACGAGCAUUCCAAAACAACUAUCUUAUUAAACAAUGGCGUUUACCAAUGCCACUAAAUCAUUUUAGAGGGGAAGUGUCCCGUUUAAUGAAAAAUCAAUAUAUUCAGGGUAAUAUACCAUCUAACGAUGAAGUAUCGGUGUAUUUUCUAACCGUAAUGUGGGAUGAAAUUAAUGAUGAGGUGGAGGGAGUGAUAGGAAAUGAAUCCAUAAAUUUCCAGGAUUGGUUUUUUUUUCUGUGUAGUUGUAAUGUAGAAAACUUUUCUCGCGUUACAUAUAACCCUAAAAUAUUUAACUACCUUAUUAGUAUCAUAUAUUGUGUGGUGGGAGCACACAUAAUAGACUCAAUUAACUAUACACCUCCAUCUUAUGAAAAUUAACAGUUUUUUUGUUGUUGUUGCUAUCGCUACCUGUUGUCAUACAUACCUGUUUAUAUGCAAAUGCAGCUGCUGCUAGCGAUUUUUUAUAUCUUAUAGUUACUAUACUACCUCAUGUAUCUUUAUGUGUAAUAAUAAUAAUAUUAGAAAUAAAAGA
RNAcentral lists this long non-coding RNA (2618 nucleotides) under Leguminivora glycinivorella. RNAcentral's name for it is "uncharacterized LOC125232854". The record is from RNAcentral. Lineage: Eukaryota; Metazoa; Arthropoda; Insecta; Lepidoptera; Tortricidae.